CAAUCAUCUCGUGCGGACACCCGCACAGCUCGUGCUGGAGCAGCAGGAUCAUGACAGAAAGUCUUGGAGCGAAAAGAUUAAGAUCGUGCCAGGGAAAUUGAUAAAAAACAUGGGGUAAAAAACUGUUUCAGAUGGGCAUGGCUUGAAAAAAGUGUAACCAUGCAGAUGGGAAUGAAAACUGUUUCAACAUGUCUAACCGAACACAUACAAAAAGUGGACGUUCCCGGAAAAAGUGCUGUGCACUCUGUAUUCUGAUAUGAUCAAUUAUGGAAGCUGAGGAGCAAAAAAUAUCCAGGGGCAUAUCCAAACCAGGAAACACAAAGUAACACCAAUUCGCCAGGGGAGGGCGCUGUUUUGCAGCCUCCGGCUGACGCUGCCCAGCUCAUUCGCGGAAGAAGCGACAGAACAGUGACACGUAUCACGUGUGAGAACUGUUAGAGGAUGCUAUUUAUGGGCUGUGAGCUAAACGUGUAUUCUGUGCUGCUUGCAGGUCUUGAGAUUCCAUCCCUAAUCACACCCGCAAGUUUAUCUGCGAGCAUGACUGACCACACCCGUACAUUUUUCAAAUGGUAUGUGGAACGCCUGUUAGAAGAGCUCCGGACCCUCUAUGAGGAUGGGGAGCUGACGACGUCGUCUGCUGAUGCCCAAGCACCACCACCUCUCAGCAGCCAGUACACAGAACCAAGCAAUGACUUGGCUAUUCGGGAUCGUUUUUCAAGAUUUUCAAAUCAAAGAUGUUGUGAAAAUAAAAAAAAAUACAAAUUUGAAGAAGGCGAUAUAAAAACUCUGUCCGGUUUGUUAAACUGAAACUAAAUUCUAUCCUGAUGGAACUUCAGCGUCAGAGCUUUUAUGUUACAAACCUCUGAAGCAUGCUGAUUAACCACUCAUGUUGCGUGAUGCAAAAAAUUAAUGCAUUAGUCUGGUCUGUUCAAUAGUCAUUUUCUCAUCUCCCACCCGGUAGCUUGCGAGAAGGUGACUGCUUGAAAAGGAGAUCUUGGGGUAAAAAAGUCUGGGCAACCCAGUUCUCUUCAUACAUGUCCUGUACUAUUCUAACAUAUUUCUCCACCACACCAGACUUACGCAUCCAUUCCAUGUGCACAGUGAUUAGAGGAUAAGGAGUGGACCUUGGCAACAGAAAUGAAUCUUCAGUCUGCAUACUGAGCUCAAAUAAUACUUGGGGAUAGCAAAACGGUGACGAUUUUAUGAGUCCCGGGAACAAUAAAUCAAAUAUCCUAGAUAAAAAAAAAAAAACAGACUCAGGCUUUAUUCAUGAAAAUUACACAUUGGCACAGAGAUAUAAGUCAUUCAUGCCUUGACAGGCAAUAUACUGCCAAUCAAGUUUCCAGUUGGUUAAGAAAAAGUACCUAGCAGCAACAAGCAACAUUAAUCACAACGCAAGUACAUCAAAUCAACCCAUUUUGAUUCAAGAUGUGUACUACUUUUUAAAAGUCUGCAGCCUUGUCAAAAUGAUCAGAAGCUACACCUCUUUACAAUAAUAAAUGUUAAUAAUCUGAGCAUAUGUGUGCCAUGUUCAUGUUUGUAUUUUCAUCGUGUAAGCAAAGCACUCCAUAAUUGCAAACUGAGAAUAAACAGACAGAAUAAACUGGUUUUUUUUGUUUCCAGCUGAAAAAAAUCAGGUGAGAUAGUUGUUUGAAAGGGAUUUUGUCACUUUGUGGUUUUAAGGUGUGUUGUCUUUGUUGCGCCUACAAAUAAAUGACAGAACAGCUCAUGGGUGUUAGUAGGAUGGCAGCAUUCAACUAGCUUCAAUCCAAAAUACCCCCAUUACUACAUACCCCAUACUUACAUUACUACAUUGUGGUGGUGGUGAUUGGACUUGGAACUAAUUCAUUUAAUUCCAUUAAUUGUGCAGCUACCAGCUUGCCAUCAGUAAAACAGCUUCCUGCAUUGCGGCUGCAUUUCAAGCGCAUGUGUCUGCUUUCAAGUUGUGGGAGCACUUCAGUUGUACAGCCAAGUUAAGGACCCUUGUCCUCCAAGAUUCUUCUCCUCUCCUUGUCCUGCUGUAUCUAGUCCUGUUUUCCCCUCACAUGGUGUAGCAUUACAGCCCCAUGCAACACUCAUAUCUAAUAUUUGUCAUGAAAUGCAUUAAUUUUAGUAUGUUAUUAAUGAAAAAACAGUAAUCGGAACGGACCGAUCUGUUUUUUUACCACUAAACAUUAUUUUGACGUAUAUGGCUUUUUGUAACUCCCGCCAUGAAAAUCCUCCUGAGGGAUUUGUUUUCGAGAAGAAGCAUGAAGUGACGUACAGGGUAGUAGCACACUCAAGCGGUCUUGUAUGUUUAUACUAGGUUUACCUGCUGGAAGGUAGGUCGUUGUUGCUUCGUGUUAGCCAAAAUACUGGCUCGUUGUAUUGCUGGAUAUUGCUCGAACGCUCGGUAGGAUAGAUUCGCGCUUCAUACUUUUCCAAAAGACCCGGUUCGUUGUGAAAAAUGGAUUGCACAGGUGCAAAGAACGAGAGGUUAGGUUCCAAAUGGCAGGUAGGUGUGUAUCUUCUUCUUUUCCUAUCGGCUUGUCCCGUUAGGGGUCUCCACAGCGUGUCAUCUUUUUCCAUCUAAGCCUAUCUUGUGCAUCUUCCUCUCUAACACACACUGUCCUCAUGUCCUCCCUCACAACAUCCAUCAACCUUUUCUUUGGUUUUCCUCUCGCUCUUUUGCCUGGCAGCUCCAUCCUCAACACCCUUCUACCAAUAUACUCACUCUCUCGCCUCUGAACAUGUCCAAACCAUUGAAGUCUGCUUUC
Long non-coding RNA from Syngnathoides biaculeatus (alligator pipefish), 2756 nucleotides. RefSeq lists it as uncharacterized. The record is from RefSeq and is a predicted model, not a curated record. The transcript has 4 exons. NCBI's taxonomy places the organism in Eukaryota, Metazoa, Chordata, Actinopteri, Syngnathiformes, Syngnathidae.